Long non-coding RNA from Mesocricetus auratus (golden hamster), 475 nucleotides. RefSeq lists it as uncharacterized. Lineage: Eukaryota; Metazoa; Chordata; Mammalia; Rodentia; Cricetidae. The transcript is spliced from 3 exons. The record is from RefSeq and is a predicted model, not a curated record.
CCAAGACCUUCCCCGGGUAGUGACUUCACAUCCUUUGACAUCAGCACAGCCUCGAAAGGGGGAUGGGAGAGCAGGCAGAAAGCAGAAAAACCAGCUUUGAACUCUGCGUGCAAGGCCUCCGGAGCCUCAGGCCCCGCAAGGAUCCCAGCUCUCAGGGGAUGGCUCCGGAGGCCACAACCCGGAUCAGACAAGAAGGAGCAACCAGAAAAAGGAAGCAUGUGUGUGCAUGCUCUCCAUGAUUCUACCAUUUCCCAAACUGUGUAAAAAGACUACUUCGGAACUGGAGCACUGUCGGAUGUUGGUGAGAUGAUUUCCCUACAAAAAGGAACACACUGCUAGUCCAAAGAGAAGCAAUGAAAAUAGGAGGAAACUCUCUGGCAGAACUGAAAAAUUCUUCACCUCAUAGAAAAAAGAAACAUUUCUGUAAUUAUGCUGUGCCAUUUUCUAAGACAAAUAAAGCCCUUUAACUCCUAAA